This 429-nucleotide ribosomal RNA is filed under the name bacterium. RNAcentral describes it as "partial 16S ribosomal RNA". It matches the Rfam family "Bacterial small subunit ribosomal RNA", at positions 355 to 776 of the family's 1533-position model. The record is from RNAcentral.
UAGGGAAUCUUCGGCAAUGGGGGCAACCCUGACCGAGCAACGCCGCGUGAGUGAAGAAGGUUUUCGGAUCGUAAAGCUCUGUUGUAAGAGAAGAACGUGUGUGAGAGUGGAAAGUUCACACAGUGACGGUGACUUACCAGAAAGGGACGGCUAACUACGUGCCAGCUGCCGCGGUAAUACGUAGGUCCCGAGCGUUGUCCGGAUUUAUUGGGCGUAAAGCGAGCGCAGGCGGUUUAAUAAGUCUGAAGUUAAAGGCAGUGGCUUAACCAUUGUUCGCUUUGGAAACUGUUAAACUUGAGUGCAGAAGGGGAGAGUGGAAUUCCAUGUGUAGCGGUGAAAUGCGUAGAUAUAUGGAGGAACACCGGUGGCGAAAGCGGCUCUCUGGUCUGUAACUGACGCUGAGGCUCGAAAGCGUGGGGAGCAAACAGG